Molecule: ribosomal RNA, 491 nt
Filed under: uncultured bacterium
Lineage: Bacteria
Description: partial 16S ribosomal RNA
Rfam family: Bacterial small subunit ribosomal RNA
Source: RNAcentral
AGUGAACGCUGGCGGUAGGCCUAACACAUGCAAGUCGAACGGCAGCACAGUAAGAGCUUGCUCUUACGGGUGGCGAGUGGCGGACGGGUGAGGAAUACAUCGGAAUCUACUUUUUCGUGGGGGAUAACGUAGGGAAACUUACGCUAAUACCGCAUACGACCUACGGGUGAAAGCAGGGGAUCUUCGGACCUUGCGCGAUUGAAUGAGCCGAUGUGGGAUUAGCUAGUUGGCGGGGUACAGGCCACCAAGGCGACGAGCCGUAGCUGGGCGGAGAGGAUGAUCGGCGACACUGGAACUGGGACAGGCACCAGACUCCUACGGGAGGCAGCAGUGGGGAAUAUUGGACAAUGGGCGCAAGCCUGAUCCAGCCAUACCGCGUGUGUGAAGAAGGCCUUCGGGUUGUAAAGCCCUUUUGUUGGGAAAGAAAAGCAGCAGGUUAAUACCCCGCUGUUCUGACGGUACCCAAAGAAUAAGCACCGGCUAACUUCGUG